AUUGAACGCUGGCGGCAUGCUUUACACAUGCAAGUCGAACGGCAGCGGGGUAGUGCUUGCACUACUGUCCGGCGAGUGGCGAACGGGUGAGUAAUAUAUCGGAACGUACCGAGUAAUGGGGGAUAACUAAUCGAAAGAUUGGCUAAUACCGCAUACGUCCUAAGGGAGAAAGCGGGGGAUCGCAAGACCUCGCGUUAUUCGAGCGGCCGAUAACUGAUUAGCUAGUUGGUGGGGUAAAGGCCUACCAAGGCGACGAUCAGUAGCGGGUCUGAGAGGACGAUCCGCCACACUGGGACUGAGACACGGCCCAGACUCCUACGGGAGGCAGCAGUGGGGAAUUUUGGACAAUGGGGGCAACCCUGAUCCAGCCAUGCCGCGUGUCUGAAGAAGGCCUUCGGGUUGUAAAGGACUUUUGUUAGGGAAGAAAAGGGAAGUGCUAAUACCACUUUUUGCUGACGGUACCUAAAGAAUAAGCACCGGCUAACUACGUGCCAGCAGCCGCGGUAAUACGUAGGGUGCGAGCGUUAAUCGGAAUUACUGGGCGUAAAGCGAGCGCAGACGGUUACUUAAGCAGGAUGUGAAAUCCCCGGGCUUAACCUGGGAACUGCGUUCUGAACUGGGUAGCUAGAGUAUGUCAGAGGGGGGUAGAAUUCCACGUGUAGCAGUGAAAUGCGUAGAGAUGUGGAGGAAUACCGAUGGCGAAGGCAGCCCCCUGGGAUAAUACUGACGUUCAUGCUCGAAAGCGUGGGUAGCAAACAGG
Molecule: ribosomal RNA, 760 nt
Filed under: uncultured Neisseriaceae bacterium
Lineage: Bacteria; Pseudomonadati; Pseudomonadota; Betaproteobacteria; Neisseriales; Neisseriaceae
Description: bacterial SSU rRNA
Rfam family: Bacterial small subunit ribosomal RNA
Source: RNAcentral